RNAcentral lists this long non-coding RNA (354 nucleotides) under Physcomitrium patens. Its description in RNAcentral is "long non-coding RNA (PPAT_LNC001677)". The record is from RNAcentral. Lineage: Eukaryota; Viridiplantae; Streptophyta; Bryopsida; Funariales; Funariaceae.
UGGUGGCAUUGUAGAUGUUGUAGAUUACCCUCGUCUAAACUAAUAUUUCUUGUAUUGUAAUAUUGGAGUCUUAUCUUUCUUAGAAAAAGUGGAUUACCGCUCUUCUUGAAGAUUUUAAGGCAUUUUAGAGUUUGUGAAGUAUCCUACUCUGAUCGAAUAUUACCUUCUCAUCGAGUUAUUUCUUUCCUUCUAUUAGAAUUGUCAGAGGUCAAGGUAUAAAUAUGACUUGAAGUUUAAAGUCCAAGUUGGAUGCCAUUAUGAAUGUUCUUAUUACGUUAUCAGAGAAAAUUAUAGAGAUUAAAGGAAUCAUUGCAAGACUUCAUAAUGAUGGAACAUCUGAGAUGGCACAAUUGA